Molecule: microRNA precursor, 141 nt
Filed under: Canis lupus familiaris (dog)
Lineage: Eukaryota; Metazoa; Chordata; Mammalia; Carnivora; Canidae
Description: microRNA mir-8802 (MIR8802)
Source: RNAcentral
ACGUCCAACCAUGGAGCCACCUGGGCACCCACUAAGACCAUUUUUGAUGUUUCUCUCUCGGCUUGGGGCCUCCCGGUCGAGCAGCUGCUAUUAAGGCAUGUGGUCAGGCCGUGUCCCAGAUUUGUAGGAGACCGUGUGGUC